AUUGAACGCUGGCGGCAGGCUUAACACAUGCAAGUCGAGCGGGGGGAGGUAGCUUGCUACCGGACCUAGCGGCGGACGGGUGAGUAAUGCAUAGGAGUCUGCCUAUUAGUGGGGGACAACAUCUCGAAAGGGAUGCUAAUACCGCAUACGUCCUACGGGAGAAAGCAGGGGAUCUUCGGACCUUGCGCUAAUAGAUGAGCCUAAGUCGGAUUAGCUAGUUGGUGGGGUAAAGGCCUACCAAGGCGACGAUCUGUAGCGGGUCUGAGAGGAUGAUCCGCCACACUGGGACUGAGACACGGCCCAGACUCCUACGGGAGGCAGCAGUGGGGAAUAUUGGACAAUGGGGGGAACCCUGAUCCAGCCAUGCCGCGUGUGUGAAGAAGGCCUUAUGGUUGUAAAGCACUUUAAGCGAGGAGGAGGCUACUUUAGUUAAUACCUAGAGAUAGUGGACGUUACUCGCAGAAUAAGCACCGGCUAACUCUGUGCCAGCCGCCGCGGUAA
This 501-nucleotide ribosomal RNA is filed under the name uncultured bacterium. RNAcentral's name for it is "partial 16S ribosomal RNA". It matches the Rfam family "Bacterial small subunit ribosomal RNA", at positions 30 to 523 of the family's 1533-position model. The record is from RNAcentral.